RNAcentral lists this ribosomal RNA (730 nucleotides) under uncultured bacterium. RNAcentral describes it as "bacterial SSU rRNA". It matches the Rfam family "Bacterial small subunit ribosomal RNA", at positions 762 to 1498 of the family's 1533-position model. The record is from RNAcentral.
UGGGGAGCAAACAGGAUUAGAUACCCUGGUAGUCCACGCAGUAAACGAUGAAUGUUAGUCGUCGGGGGCCUCGUGUCUUCGGUGAUGCAGCUAACGCAUUAAACAUUCCGCCUGGGGAGUACGGUCGCAAGAUUAAAACUCAAAGGAAUAGACGGGGACCCGCACAAGUGGUGGAGCAUGUGGUUUAAUUCGAAGAUACGCGAAGAACCUUACCUAGCCUUGACAUAUUUUAGAACUCCGUAGAGAUACAGAGGUGCCUUCGGGAGCUAAUUUACAGGUGCUGCACGGCUGUCGUCAGCUCGUGUCGUGAGAUGUUGGGUUAAGUCCCGCAACGAGCGCAACCCUCGUCACUAGUUACUAACGGUUCGGCCGAGGACUCUAGUGAGACUGCCUUCGUAAGGAGGAGGAAGGUGAGGACGACGUCAAGUCAUCAUGGCCCUUACGGCUAGGGCAACACACGUGCUACAAUGGCCAGGACAGUGAGACGCGAUACCGCGAGGUGGAGCAAAUCUAUAAACCUGGUCUCAGUUCGGAUUGUAGUCUGCAACUCGACUACAUGAAGCUGGAAUCACUAGUAAUCGUAGAUCAGCUAUGCUACGGUGAAUACGUUCCCGGGUCUUGUACUCACCGCCCGUCACACCAUGGGAGUUGAUUUCACCCGAAGCGGGGAAGCUAAACUGGCUACCCUCCACGGUGGAAUUAGCGACUGGGGUGAAGUCGUAACAAGGUA